GCUCAUCUACUCUCAGUGUACCUUUCCCCAUUCCCCAUCAUGGAUUAAACGUAUGACAUCUGAUGCUGUUUUCUAGCUACUUGUAUUGGCCCCUCUCUCUGACUGUUGUAGUUCUCUUGUACCCCCGUAUAAAAGGAAAAAGCAAGAAAAAUUAUUUAACAGAGAGCCAUGGGACUUUCUUAACCAAAAAUUUAAUAACUAGAAUUGGAAAAGCGUAGAUCUAAGAAAGAAAGGAGAUGGAAAAGAAAAGAGAAGAUGGUAGGGUGACGUGUUGGUCAGUGGUUACGUGAUAGUGUGGUAGUGUUAGUGUUGGCGUGGAUAUUGUUAUAGGUAUCCCACAGUUUGAUUACCUAUGGUCAGAUUUCAAAAGUUAGAAGUCUAUCAUCUCUAAUUUGUAUGUUGUUUCUUUUGAUUGUUUUUAUGGUUACUAUGGAGGAUUGAAUGUGUAUAGGUUGCACUACGGCUCCCAUAUUUGUGUGAUCUUACGUUUUUGGUUCAGUGUUACUGCUGAAGCUAAUUCAUACAUAUAGUUUAAAAUUAUUUUAUCUAUCAAGCUUGGUUCAGAAGGGCAUGUACUCGAUUUCCAGUUAAGUGCAAUGAGGGCCCUAGCCGCCAGAAUCACCUGUGAGACUAUUGCCCUCUCGUAAAAAGACCAGUUUGGGGGCAAAUCAAGCCAUA
Molecule: non-coding RNA, 678 nt
Organism: Pelobates cultripes (western spadefoot toad)
Lineage: Eukaryota; Metazoa; Chordata; Amphibia; Anura; Pelobatidae
Source: the annotation of a GenBank genome assembly